Myxocyprinus asiaticus (Chinese sucker) is the source of this 604-nucleotide long non-coding RNA. RefSeq lists it as uncharacterized. The record is from RefSeq and is a predicted model, not a curated record. NCBI's taxonomy places the organism in Eukaryota, Metazoa, Chordata, Actinopteri, Cypriniformes, Catostomidae. The transcript is spliced from 3 exons.
AAGCAAGUAGGUGGACCUGGGCUGGGGUCAAUGUCGGCCAGCAGUUCCAAAUGGGGUCUGAGGCAGUUGAGAUUGGCUGGAUCUCCAGUUCUCUGCAGGGCAAUGAUCAAUCAACAUGAACACACUGGCGUGCAGUUACCAAGCUGGUGCAAACCUUCAAACAUCUGUAAAAUCGUUCGCGUACACGCAUCUUCCAAGACCAUAUCAGGAAAAACCCUGUUCUCACAAAAGCUGAGGAUUUAACUGUGGAUUUAAUGCUUUAAAAUGUACAACAAGAAAACAAACUGGUAUGGCAGCCAUCUUUCUUCACUGAGAGUCUCUGUCCUCUACAGACUCAACAGUCCAGCUGAAAUAUAUCAAUCAAUUGCACAAUUGACACUCAAUUGGAUUGGAAGUAUGCUUCAAAAAAAUGUUUUAAUGGACUUCUUCUAUCCCACCGUCUCCCCGUGCCUCCCCUGCAGUGCUCUCGCGCCACACAACUUCAAGCGACUCAUAGAAGCGGCACUGACCACACAGUGAAAUGCCAGUUUCGGAGUUUCUACUUAUUUACAUGACCUGCUUCCUUAUUAUUUGAACUUUAAUAAAGGAUGCAUUAAAGAUGUAA